UAAGGAGCUUGCUCCUUUGACGUUAGCGGCGGACGGGUGAGUAACACGUGGAUAACCUACCUAUAAGACUGGGAUAACUUCGGGAAACCGGAGCUAAUACCGGAUAACAUAUUGAACCGCAUGGUUCAAUAGUGAAAGGCGGCUUUGCUGUCACUUAUAGAUGGAUCCGCGCCGUAUUAGCUAGUUGGUAAGGUAACGGCUUACCAAGGCAACGAUACGUAGCCGACCUGAGAGGGUGAUCGGCCACACUGGAACUGAGACACGGUCCAGACUCCUACGGGAGGCAGCAGUAGGGAAUCUUCCGCAAUGGGCGAAAGCCUGACGGAGCAACGCCGCGUGAGUGAUGAAGGUCUUCGGAUCGUAAAACUCUGUUAUCAGGGAAGAACAAAUGUGUAAGUAACUGUGCACAUCUUGACGGUACCUGAUCAGAAAGCCACGGCUAACUACGUGCCAGCAGCCGCGGUAAUACGUAGGUGGCAAGCGUUAUCCGGAAUUAUUGGGCGUAAAGCGCGCGUAGGCGGUUUUUUAAGUCUGAUGUGAAAGCCCACGGCUCAACCGUGGAGGGUCAUUGGAAACUGGAAAACUUGAGUGCAGAAGAGGAAAGUGGAAUUCCAUGUGUAGCGGUGAAAUGCGCAGAGAUAUGGAGGAACACCAGUGGCGAAGGCGACUUUCUGGUCUGUAACUGACGCUGAUGUGCGAAAGCGUGGGGAUCAAACAGGAUUAGAUACCCUGGUAGUCCACGCCGUAAACGAUGAGUGCUAAGUGUUAGGGGGGUUUCCGCCCCUUAGUGCUGCAGCUAACGCAUUAAGCACUCCGCCUGGGGAGUACGACCGCAAGGUUGAAACUCAAAGGAAUUGACGGGGACCCGCACAAGCGGUGGAGCAUGUGGUUUAAUUCGAAGCAACGCGAAGAACCUUACCAAAUCUUGACAUCCUUUGACCGCUCUAGAGAUAGAGUCUUCCCCUUCGGGGGACAAAGUGACAGGUGGUGCAUGGUUGUCGUCAGCUCGUGUCGUGAGAUGUUUGGGUUAAGUCCCGCAA
This 1040-nucleotide ribosomal RNA is filed under the name Staphylococcus sp. AR230. RNAcentral's name for it is "bacterial SSU rRNA". It matches the Rfam family "Bacterial small subunit ribosomal RNA", at positions 72 to 1092 of the family's 1533-position model. The record is from RNAcentral. Lineage: Bacteria; Bacillati; Bacillota; Bacilli; Caryophanales; Staphylococcaceae.